GGCCGAGUUGAGGCGGUACGUUCACCUCGUCCAGGUGCGAAGGCGCGGGUUACUUCCACUGGUAAUGGAGAGGCUGCGGGUUCGAAUCCCGUCACCA
Molecule: transfer RNA, 97 nt
Filed under: Streptomyces sp. SID11233
Lineage: Bacteria; Bacillati; Actinomycetota; Actinomycetes; Kitasatosporales; Streptomycetaceae
Also listed under: 1 other name
Description: tRNA-Thr
Source: RNAcentral